UACGAAGGGGGCUAGCGUUGUUCGGAAUUACUGGGCGUAAAGAGCUCGUAGGCGGUGUGUCACGUCGGCCGUGAAAACCUGGGGCUUAACUCUGGGCGUGCGGUCGAUACGGGCAUCACUAGAGUUCGGCAGGGGAGACUGGAAUUCCUGGUGUAGCGGUGAAAUGCGCAGAUAUCAGGAGGAACACCGGUGGCGAAGGCGGGUCUCUGGGCCGAUACUGACGCUGAGGAGCGAAAGCAUGGGUAGCGAACAGG
Molecule: ribosomal RNA, 254 nt
Filed under: uncultured bacterium
Lineage: Bacteria
Description: partial 16S ribosomal RNA
Rfam family: Bacterial small subunit ribosomal RNA
Source: RNAcentral